CUAGGUCAUGACCUUGUGGGCGGAGCUCAGAGAAGCGGAGAAACUACGUUGGAAGACAUUUUAAAACCGGCGUUUGGACCGUUCGCUCGGUUUGUCAGUACCGAGAAAACCUAAGUACCAAAGAAGCCUGGAAGCUAAAAAAGCUUCGAAGCUGCUUUUUUUGUCGAGGAGGAGUGAGGCUGGACGCUGAAAACACCUGCGGCGCGAAGGUCACAGUAAUAUACACGAUGGGACGUCAUCUCUGUACAAGGAAGAAGUUCUUUGAGACCAGGACAGAGGCCUCCAGGUGUCAGCUCUUUGUCCAAUGAAGAAGUUCUUUGAGACCAGGACAGAGGUUUACUGGUUCAGCUGCUGCAGCCUGGACACAAACACUAGCUCUCACCUGAGAAACCACACAGGUGUCUCGAUGAUCACAGAGAGUCUUUGAGACUAGGCCUCCAGGUUUGACUGUGUCCCAGUGCACCUCAAAUUCAUACCCUCCUCACAGCAGGGGUCGCGUCUUUAUCACAUCUGACCAGGUGAGGAGGGAGUUGAGGAUGAUUAAGGCAAGGAAGGCUAUGGGCCCUGACGGUAUCAGCGGCAGAGUGCUCAGUUCAGCUCUGUAGGGUUUUUCUGCACAUCUUUAACUUGAGACUCUGUCUGGAGAGAGUUCUGCUGUGGAAAACAUCCUGUGUGGUCCCAGUUCCAAAGACUGCACAUCCAAGUGAGUUGAAACACGUCAGACCAGUAGUUUUAACCUGUCACGUAGGGAGUGAUGCGACGGAUCCCCUGCAGUUUGCCUACAGACCUGGCAGUGGUGUGGAAGAUGUUGUCAUCUACCUGCUGCACAGAUACUUUUUGCACCUGGAGAACACUGUGGGCGUCGUCUUCUUUGACUUUUCCAGUGUAUUCAAUAUCUUCCAACCACCUCUGUUUAUGGGGGAGCUGGAGGGAUUGUAACCUGGCUGCUUAGACCACAGAGAUAACACUGACAGAAGUUCUAUGAUGACACAGGCAUUGUUGGGUGUGUCUGUCAGGGGAAAUGAUCUGGAGCACAGGGAGGUCAUGACCAGGUUUGUUGAGCAGUGCGGUAGGAAUAAUCUGCACAUCAAUUCCAGCAAGAUGAAGGAAGCUAUUUCCCAAUGCAGUGGUGAACAUCCAGAUUGUGGAGGAGUACAAAUUCCUGGGUGUUUACCUUAACGAUAAACUGGACUGGUCUCGUAACACCAACAGCCUGUACAAGAAGGGCUGGCUUUGUCAUGGACUCCACUGAGGAGGAUGUCUCCUCCCUGAUCAGUUCCUUCAGUAACAGACUGCUGCAUGUGUGGUGGGUGUCAGCAGUUGGGUCAUAACAUCAUCCAUGAUUGCAGAGUGUCUUCAUACAAUGAAGAAGUUCUUUGAGAGCAGGACAGAGGCGUUCAGUGGUUCAGCUGCUGCAGCCUGGUCAGACACACCACACAGGUGUCUAUGAUUGCAGAGAGUUUUCGUGAAACGCAGAAGUUGUUUGACAUCAGGAUAGAGGUGUCUCCAAUUGCAGAGUUAUUUGAAGAAGAUCUUUGAGGCUAGGGUGUCCAGGUGUGUCCAUGAUCACAGAGAGUGUUUGUGCAAUGGAGAAGUUCUUUGAGAGUGGGGCAGAGGACUGCAGGUAAUUCAGCAACUGCUUUACACCAAGUGUCCAAGAUAGAGUACUGACAUUGUUUAUGUUCAGUAUUCAUUGUAUUAAAAGUAAUAGUAUAAGUUUUGAGUGUGUUUUCAAAUUAAUAUUACAAAAGUGAUGUUGUAAUGCAGAAUUGUCAAAUGUUGUGUAGUUAAUAAUAUUUAAGACAGUGUCAAAAUAUUGUCACAAUGUUGCUGUACAUUUUUGUUUCAUGUUUAUUUGUUUGUUUUGUGUGAGUUUUUGUAUAUGUAUGGUUUACAUGUUUGAUUUGUUCUAUUUAUGCAUGUUCUGUUGUUAUUGUAUUUGUUUUAAUUUGUUGUUCCUCUCAACUGUCUUAAUGUGUUUUAUGUUCAUGUGAUCUUCCCAACUGUUUUAAUGCGUUGUUCCUCUCAACUGUCUUAAUUGUGUUCUUCCUACUGUCUUAAUGUGUUGUUGCAAGUGUUUUAUGUUCAUGUGAUCUUCCCAACUGUUUUAAUGCUUUGUUCCUCUCAACUGUCUUAAUUGUGUUCUCUCUACUGUCUUGUUGCAAGUGUUUUAUGUUUUCUUCCCGACUGUUUUAAUGCGUUGUUCCUGUCUUAAUAAAACAAUUUUUUCAUGGUU
Long non-coding RNA from Lates calcarifer (barramundi perch), 2236 nucleotides. RefSeq lists it as uncharacterized. The record is from RefSeq and is a predicted model, not a curated record. The transcript is spliced from 11 exons. Lineage: Eukaryota; Metazoa; Chordata; Actinopteri; Centropomidae.